This 250-nucleotide ribosomal RNA is filed under the name uncultured bacterium. RNAcentral's name for it is "partial 16S ribosomal RNA". It matches the Rfam family "Bacterial small subunit ribosomal RNA", at positions 524 to 772 of the family's 1533-position model. The record is from RNAcentral.
UACGUAGGGGGCGAGCGUUGUCCGGAUUCAUUGGGCGUAAAGAGCUCGUAGGCGGUUCAGUAAGUCGGGUGUGAAAGCUCCGAGCUCAACUCGGAGAGGCCACCCGAUACUGCUGUGACUUGAGUCCAGUAGAGGAGCGUGGAACUCCUGGUGUAGCGGUGAAAUGCGCAGAUAUCAGGAAGAACACCGGUAGCGAAGGCGGCGCUCUGGGCUGGAACUGACGCUGAGGAGCGAAAGCGUGGGUAGCAAA